RNAcentral lists this ribosomal RNA (292 nucleotides) under uncultured microorganism. RNAcentral describes it as "partial 16S ribosomal RNA". It matches the Rfam family "Bacterial small subunit ribosomal RNA", at positions 505 to 796 of the family's 1533-position model. The record is from RNAcentral.
GUGCCAGCAGCCGCGGUAAUACGUAGGGUGCGAGCGUUGUCCGGAAUUAUUGGGCGUAAAGAGCUCGUAGGCGGUUUGUCGCGUCGGCCGUGAAAACCUGCCGCUUAACGGUGGGCGUGCGGUCGAUACGGGCAGACUUGAGUUCGGUAGGGGAGACUGGAAUUCCUGGUGUAGCGGUGAAAUGCGCAGAUAUCAGGAGGAACACCGGUGGCGAAGGCGGGUCUCUGGGCCGAUACUGACGCUGAGGAGCGAAAGCGUGGGGAGCGAACAGGAUUAGAUACCCUGGUAGUCC